This 253-nucleotide ribosomal RNA is filed under the name uncultured bacterium. RNAcentral's name for it is "partial 16S ribosomal RNA". It matches the Rfam family "Bacterial small subunit ribosomal RNA", at positions 524 to 776 of the family's 1533-position model. The record is from RNAcentral.
UACGAACUGUGCGAACGUUAUUCGGAAUCACUGGGCUUACAGGGUGCGUAGGCGGCUUGUUAAGUAGGGUGUGAAAGCCCCCGGCUCAACCGGGGAAUUGCGCCCUAAACUGGCGAGCUGGAGUGAGAUAGGGGUGUGUGGAACUUCCGGUGGAGCGGUGAAAUGUGUUGAUAUCGGAAGGAACGCCGGUGGCGAAAGCGACACACUGGAUCUUGUCUGACGCUGAGGAGCGAAAGCCAGGGGAGCAAACGGG